AGCGAACGUUUGCGGCGGGCCUAACACAUGCAAGUCGAACGGGCAGGGGCAACCCUGUCAGUGGCGCACGGGUGCGUAACACGUGGGUAAUCAACCCUUUGGACUGGGACAACCCGGGGAAACUCGGGCUAAUACCGGAUGUGGCGUGGCGGUCCUCGGACUGCUCCGCGAAAGCUCCGCAAGGGGCACCAGAGGACGAGCCCGCGUCCCAUCAGCUAGUUGGUGAGGUAAUGGCUCACCAAGGCGAAGACGGGUAGCUGGUCUGAGAGGAUGAUCAGCCACACUGGAACUGAGACACGGUCCAGACUCCUACGGGAGGCAGCAGUGGGGAAUAUUGCGCAAUGGGCGAAAGCCUGACGCAGCCACGCCGCGUGUGCGAUGAAGGUCUUCGGAUCGUAAAGCACUGUGGGGGGAGAAGAAACAAGCCGGUGAAGAGCCGGCCCUGACGGUAUCCCCUUAGCAAGCACCGGCUAACUCCGUGCCAGCAGCCGCGGUAAAG
This 499-nucleotide ribosomal RNA is filed under the name uncultured bacterium. RNAcentral describes it as "bacterial SSU rRNA". It matches the Rfam family "Bacterial small subunit ribosomal RNA", at positions 29 to 525 of the family's 1533-position model. The record is from RNAcentral.